CAAACAGGGAACGACAUAAUACAAAGAUCGGUUAAAAUAUCAAUAACAAGUUUUAAUCACAUAGAUAUUUAAUUGAUUCUGUUAGCAAGCUGUGAUUUCUACAAAGAAAUUGGACCGCCCCCCCCACUCGAAAGUUUAUGGGGGGGGGCGGGGGCGGGAUUGAUACCAUCGCCCCCUCCCGACCCCACCAAAUCGGCCAACAUACUAGAGGUGGGGGCGAAAUAAUCUAAAAAUAGGUUGAAAUAUAAAUAAUUAGUAUAUAUUAUUAACAUAAGUAAUGAAUUCAUAUACAAAUUGUGUGAAUUCUAUACUAAAAUUCGUCCGCCCCCCCCCCCGGUCGGCCGAGUGGGGUGGGGGGGGGCGAUCGCCCCUACCGCCCCCCCCCCCUGGAUCCGCCAGUGGUCGGGGGUGACUAAGAGAAAGGCCAGACAACGAAAACGACGUCCCCUUAACCAAAGGCAGAUCAAUUGGAGCAGAAGGAGAAAGCGUGACCUGCAGAGAGCAGUGUGGAUUGAUUUGUCGGGAGCACGAUCCAUGCAAUCUUUGAUUCCCACUGACCGACCUCCACCUACACUGACCUACCGUGAACACGUUUCUUUUCGGGACGAAAAGACUAAGGUGGGGGUAGUGUUGUAACCCUGCCUUGCACCAGUGCUUGAGAUGCGCACUAGCGCACUGUUGAACGUAAACAGGAAGACACUAGAAUGGAGAGAACAACAGUGCAUCAGGAACUGUGAAGAGUCUGAAUGUUUGGGAAACUAAGAGGCCAACUUUUGUGCUGCCUGAAGGUUGUAGUAAGGACCGGGAUCGAAGCGGGGAAGGCUGUCGUUGGUCCACAUUCGGACAUAGAAUACACGAAGAUGUAGGUGAAGUUGUUAUAAAGGAUCUAAAGCCACAGACUUUAGAUUUCAUACUGCAACAUUCUUCACGCAAAGAGGACGUAAAACCCGUGUAGUGCUUGAUUUGCCUUUUCGGAAGCAGCUGAGAAACACUAGUGAAACCCUUUCCAUAAGGAGCUCUUAAAUAAUCUCUAAUAAAAAUGUUCAACUCAA
Long non-coding RNA from Biomphalaria glabrata, 1052 nucleotides. RefSeq lists it as uncharacterized. Lineage: Eukaryota; Metazoa; Mollusca; Gastropoda; Planorbidae. The transcript has 3 exons. The record is from RefSeq and is a predicted model, not a curated record.